Molecule: ribosomal RNA, 724 nt
Filed under: Acinetobacter sp. Wr1B05
Lineage: Bacteria; Pseudomonadati; Pseudomonadota; Gammaproteobacteria; Moraxellales; Moraxellaceae
Description: bacterial SSU rRNA
Rfam family: Bacterial small subunit ribosomal RNA
Source: RNAcentral
CGGAGGCUUACACAUGCAAGUCGAGCGGAGAGAGGUAGCUUGGUACUGAUCUUAGCGGCGGACGGGUGAGUAAUGCUUAGGAAUCUGCCUAUUAGUGGGGGACAACAUUUCGAAAGGAAUGCUAAUACCGCAUACGUCCUACGGGAGAAAGCAGGGGAUCUUCGGACCUUGCGCUAAUAGAUGAGCCUAAGUCGGAUUAGCUAGUUGGUGGGGUAAAGGCCUACCAAGGCGACGAUCUGUAGCGGGUCUGAGAGGAUGAUCCGCCACACUGGGACUGAGACACGGCCCAGACUCCUACGGGAGGCAGCAGUGGGGAAUAUUGGACAAUGGGCGCAAGCCUGAUCCAGCCAUGCCGCGUGUGUGAAGAAGGCCUUAUGGUUGUAAAGCACUUUAAGCGAGGAGGAGGGUACUUUAGUUAAUACCUAGAGAUAGUGGACGUUACUCGCAGAAUAAGCACCGGCUAACUCUGUGCCAGCAGCCGCGGUAAUACAGAGGGUGCAAGCGUUAAUCGGAUUUACUGGGCGUAAAGCGCGCGUAGGCGUCUAAUUAAGUCAAAUGUGAAAUCCCCGAGCUCAACUUGGGAAUUGCAUUCGAUACUGGUGAGCUAGAGUGUGGGAGAGGAUGGUAGAAUUCCAGGUGUAGCGGUGAAAUGCGUAGAGAUAUGGAGGAAUACCGAUGGCGAAGGCAGCCAUCUGGCCUAACACUGACGCUGAGGUGCGAAGCA